CGUAGGAGGCUAGCGUUAUCCGGAUUUAUUGGGCGUAAAAGCGCGUGCAGGCGGUUUAUCAAGUUGGAUGUGAAAGCUCCUGGCUUAACUGGGAGAGGUCGUUCAAAACUGAUAGACUAGAGAAUGGUAGAGGGAGGUGGAAUUCCGGGUGUAGUGGUGAAAUGCGUAGAUAUCCGGAGGAACACCAGUGGCGAAAGCGGCCUCCUGGGCCAUUUCUGACGCUAAGACGCGAAAGCUAGGGUAGCAAACGGGAUUAGAGACCCCGGUAGUCCUAGCCGUAAACGAUGUGGACUUGGCGUUGGCGGAGUUAAAUCUGCCAGUGCCGUAGCUAACGCGAUAAGUCCACCGCCUGGGGACUACGACCGCAAGGUUAAAACUCAAAGGAAUUGACGGGGACCCGCACAAGCAGCGGAGCGUGUGGUUUAAUUCGAUGCUACACGAAGAACCUUACCAAGGUUUGACAUGUAAGUGGUAGUGAUCUGAAAAGUGAACGACCCUUCGGGGAGCUUACACAGGUGCUGCAUGGCUGUCGUCAGCUCGUGUCGUGAGAUGUUCGGUUAAGUCCGCUAACGAGCGCAACCCUCACUGUGUGUUACAAGUGUCACACGGGACUGCCGGUUUUAAGCCGGAGGAAGGCGAGGAUGACGUCAAGUCAGCAUGGCCUUUAUAUCUUGGGCUACACACACGCUACAAUGGUCUGUACAAUAGGUUGCCAAGCCGCGAGGCGGAGCCAAUCCUAAAAGCAGGCCUCAGUUCAGAUUGCAGGCUGCAACCCGCCUGCAUGAAGAUGGAGUUGCUAGUAACCGCAGGUCAGCUAUACUGCGGUGAAUACGUUCCCGGGUCUUGUACACACCGCCCGU
RNAcentral lists this ribosomal RNA (860 nucleotides) under uncultured bacterium. RNAcentral describes it as "bacterial SSU rRNA". It matches the Rfam family "Bacterial small subunit ribosomal RNA", at positions 526 to 1397 of the family's 1533-position model. The record is from RNAcentral.